This 866-nucleotide long non-coding RNA is filed under the name Marmota monax (woodchuck). Lineage: Eukaryota; Metazoa; Chordata; Mammalia; Rodentia; Sciuridae. The record is from RNAcentral.
AGAUAAUAGUGUACAAUUAUUUUCCUUUUUGUUUUUCUUUUAUUUUUUUUCUUCUGUAAACUCUUGCUGAGUUUAACAUAGGUUUGGGGGAAUAAUAAUGAGAUUGUAACUUUCCAGAUAUAUUUUGUAAAUACACAUUCAAUAUAUUUUACAAGUGCGAGCAAGUUUGGCAGUCUACUACAGUUUAUUUGCGUGAAGGAUGGAGAGUCUUGGUAAUCAGAAGUUAUUAUUUUCUUGAUGGUCCACUGUGUCCUCCCAGACAUCCCAUGCAUUAUGGCAUAGGGGAAAUCUUCCAACUUUACAAGAUCUGAGAGGCAUUAUAGUAAAGAAGGCAUACAUCAUUACAGGAGAGUUAGAGUACACAAGCUGAAUUGGGAUUGACCUGGGGGCUAAAAAGAAAGCACCUCAGUUGCACCAUUGCCCUAAAUAUAUUAACAACAAACCCCAUACUCAUUCUCUAAAAAAGUGUCAUGGCCCCCCAGUAAAGGAAGUUACAAAAGAGAAUGUGUUAAAUCCAUAGUGGAUUACACAGUGUUGGUUCAAAGCAGAUAUGUCAUAAAGCACCCAGAUUUUUCAGUAUCCAUCAAAUCAUCAUUAUUUUCAUCAUAGAAGCACAAUAGAAAAGACAGACAGUAGGUAACAUGUCAUAGGGAUCUCCUUCCCCUCUUAGUUCCAGUUACAUCUAUUAAAAUCACAAUCAUAAAUUUAUUUCUUGGAGAACGAAUUUAGGGGAUUUUUUAUCUUUAGUAUAUUGUUAUAUUCUAACUUUAUUCUCAAAACAUUCUAUACAAUUUCCUAACACUAGGAGAAUUUAAAUAAAUGUUUCAAAACAACUUAGCAAAUGUUUAUAAAAAGGCCACACAAUG